Molecule: small RNA, 8394 nt
Filed under: Pongo abelii (Sumatran orangutan)
Lineage: Eukaryota; Metazoa; Chordata; Mammalia; Primates; Hominidae
Description: retained intron
Source: RNAcentral
CUAUACCAAUUGCUGGUGAAUCUGAAUCUUUGCAAGAAGAUAGAAAAGGUGGAGAGACUCUCAAAGUGCAUCUUGGAAUAGCAGGUAUGGAUGUGUGGCUUACUGGUUUUUUAAUUUCUGAGAGACUACUUGAUGCCCUAAAAAUUCCCAAAGCCCUUCCACAUUUAAAAUUGUGUGGGUAUUUGACUUGAAACAGGCCAAUAAGAAUCAGCAGUUUUAAUUUUGUAAUUCUUGGCUGAUCCAGUGCUUUAUUUUGUCUAAAGUAUUGUGCUCUGACAGAUUAAAAACUAGAUGUUACAAUGACACUCCCCUCACUGUAUGCAUCUACUCCCCACAGGUACAACAGGUACUACAGGAUUUUUUCCAUUUUUCCCAUUCCGUUACCCUGCAACUUCUGCCUCUCGGGUGUCGCUUCUCUUCCAUGGAUCGCUUUCCCUCUGUCAGUGGUUUUCAGGCCCUAAUGUGCAUCAGAGUCACCUGUAGGGCUUGUGAAACCACAGGUUGCUGGCGGCAGCAGCCAGAGUGUUUGAUUCAGUAGAUCUGGGUUAGAGCCUGAAGUUUUGUAUUACUAAGGCAUUCCCACAAGAUGCUGAUGCUGCUAGUCCCUGACCACACCUUGAGAUCCACAUUUCCAGACACACUUCUGGCAGCAGUCAGAAUCUGCUCCGGAAGUAAAAACAUGGUGGUGGGGAUAAUGUCAAGGUUGCAGGAGGAAAAGGACUUAGGAGCUUCCUUCUUUCGUCAGUAUUAUGUGAACAGGAUGUAUUGUUUGAAAGAAGGGAAAGGUGAAGUGAUAUAAUUAACCCUUUCACUACCUUUUAAAAUAUGCAAAUAUUUGGUUUCUUAUAAAUAAUGGUGACUGAAAUUUCCUGUUUUGGGAUCAGUGGAUCUUUUGGGAACUUGUAACCAUUCCAUUAGCUCCUUCUCUUCAGCAUGUAAAUAUUCUGAAUUCUUUCUCGUAUUGAACAAAUGAAAACAAAAACUCCUUAGCCCUACAUCCUUCUCUAUCUACUGCACUCCCUUAGGCUCCAGCAGGCUGGCGCAUGUGCUCAUAUGCUCUCUCUCUUCCCCCACUCCGCCCCAAAUGUAUAGAGAGACAUCUGUCUCUCUCUCUCUGUGUGUGUGUGUGUGUGUGUGUGUGUGUGUGUGUGUGUGGAGAGAGAGAGAGAAAGAGAUCAGCAAGAGAUGAUAUAUGUACCACACACUUCUUAUAGCGAAACUUCUAGAAAGAAUAUACUGUCCAUUUAUUCCUAAACACAUUAGCAAUCUGGCUUCCAUCAUCUGCCCUCUCUUGCUGCUAUCCCCAGAUACAUGAUUGUCAAGUCCUGUGGACAUUUGUUCUGGUCUUAUCUGAUGGCCAGUUAUUCAUUCUUGAUGCUUUCUCUUCCCUUGGCUCCUACCUCUCUGACCUUUCCUUUUCUAGCUUCUUAGAGGCUUCUUCAUCUUCCUCCAACUUCCCUUUACAUAUUGAUGUUCUACAAGAUUUGGUCCCCUCACUUCCUUGAGCAAUACCAUCUAUACCCUUGGCUUUAUCUAUCACAUAAAUGUAAAUGUGAUUGUGUGAUGUAAAUGUGAUCAAAUGCUUUGGGGAAAGGUCCACUUCAUACCAAAUGUAACACUGAAAUCCAUCUGUUUCUCUUUCUACCCAGCCAGAGUCUAACUAAGUUCUUCAUGAUCAGGUCUUAUUUAUCUCUGUAUCCCGAGCAGAAGGCCUGGGACACAGUAGAUGUUGAGUGACUGUUGAAUAGGCAUCCUCAGGUGUCUCUAAUUCCACAUAUCUAGCACAAGUCUUCCUACCUUUUCCUCCUGUCUUUUCUACCUCAGUUUUCCUGACACAAACUUCUGCUUUCUUAUUGAGUCCUGCUAUUUGUGCCUAUGAAACAUCUCUCACUCUCAGCUGGAUUAUGAAAACCUUCACUCUUAUGCCCCCUGUUUAUCCUGUUGCCAAAGUGUUCUUCCCAAAAUGUAGAUUCGAUCAUGUCACACCCUUUCUUAAAGCCACUGAACUGUUUUCUUCUUUAAACUCAUAGAAGGUUCUUCAUCAACAGCCAUCUACUCAUCUUUCUGGCCUCUUUUCCCUCAGUUAUUAUACUCCACUACCCUAUAUGCCAACUUUUCCAAAUGAUCUGCUUCCCUACAAAGAAGGCAUGCUCUUCCCAGUGCCUUUCCUUGCUCAUCUAGCUCAGGAGUUCCCAUACGUUGUUCAAGUCCUGGGGUUAACCUCCUCUGUGAGGUCUUUCCCCCAUUAUCAGGUUGUGUCAGAUACACUGUCCUUUGGAGCUCUUAAUAGGUGCUUUUUGGUGCUUGUAUUUUUGUACUUACCAUAUUGUAUAAGUUUUGCUUCCACCUCUAAACUCUAAGCAUGUAUUUUGUCUUAUUUAUUUUGUACUUCCUAUAUCUUGUACAGCAUUAGGCACCUGACUUGGUAAAAUAUUAAUAAAUAUUGAUUGAAUGAAUAAAUUUUGGAAACCAGAAGAUAUGUGGAUGACUUAAGAUCUGGGCCAAACCCAGAAGUAAAGAGCGCUGCAUAACUCGAUAUGAACCAACUUUUUGAGUUCAGAUUUUGCUGAAUGUUUGCGUUUGGAGCACUGUAGAGAUGCUUGGGCCACUUAUACUCUGUCCAGAAAUGAGAAGCCUUUGCAGAAGGACCAGGUUACUCCAGUAUUUUCCUUGUUUUGCAGCAUUUGUUGGUCCAACUACAUGCAGUAUCAUUUAUAGAAUAGCUGCUAUAAUAGCUAUGUUACUCAGUUGCUUUCCUUCUGCUUCUAAGUUAAAAACAGUUCUUGUUUCCAAAUAUGGUUGUGCCCUAGGGAAAAUGGUCACAGUUCUGCAUUCUCUGGAAGAAGCCUGGUUCUGAAAAUACAUGAUUGGCACCUGGAACAUACACAUGAUCAGAAACUAUUAGAAAUGGCUUUGACACUGCCUUUUGUACAUUUACUUUGAAUCUGAAUACUAUAAUCACUUUCUUAAGAACUUUUAUUCUCAGUGCUACAUCCCAUGCUGUGUUGAUUUAAGCCACAGACAUUGCCCAAAUUAUAGCCUAGCACUAACAACACUAACAUUAAAGUAAUAGAGUACUCUUUAGCUUGCUGUUGUGAUGGAUUUUUAAGGAAGCAGUAUUUCCUUAGAAACCACACUAAAACCUACCAAUUUUGUGAACAUUUAUAAGAAUACAUCUGAGUCAUUUUUAUUAGAGAAAUACUGAACACUAAAACUAUAGCAGUUUUAAGAUAGAGUGCUGUUAAAUGUUUUGAAAAACAGGAGUUUAUUGCACAGACUGAACUAAUAAAGGACCGAAAUAAUUUUUUUAAUGUUAUGAAAAAUAUAAUUCUUCAGCAAACUAAGGUAUUUAAAUACUUUGUAUAUCUUGCAAUACAGUUGUUUCCAUUGUACUGACUUAAAAGGAUGUCCCUCAUUUUGUAACUUAUUGUUUUGAUAAUGAACUUGGCGGAGUUUAUAAAGUCUGCAGAUUAGAAUACAAAUUGACCAUUAACUUUUUGGCAAUAAGAAUGACAUCAUGUUAUGACAUAUUACAGAUCUUUCAGCAAAGAGUGCCUCUGUUCCAGACGAACUUGGUGCCUGUGGACAUUCUAGAACAUCAAGCUAUGCAAGCCAGCAGUCAAAAGUAUCAGGUAGAGGCUAACAGUGAAGUUGAAUUCCUUAUUGUUCCAAAGGGACUUGAAACUUUUGUGAUGUGGGGGAACGAUGUCAGAUUGCAGAGUGUUUGAUAUGUGUAUUAUAUCCAAGGUGAUUUUCUCUGACAGGGUAUAGCACCUGUCACUCCCGGUCAUCUAGUUUCUCUGAGCUCUGCCACAGGAGAAAUACCUCAGUGGGAAGCACAUCAACAGGAGUUGAAAGUAUUCUAGAGCCAUGUGAUGAAAUUGAGCAGAAAAUUGCUGAGCCAAAUCUUGAUACAGCUGAUAAAGAAGAUACAGCUUCAGAAAAGCUCAGCAGAUGCCCAGUGAAACAAGAUUCUGUAGAAUCUCAGCUGAAGCGAGUUGAUGACACCAGGGUGGAUGCAGAUGACAUUGUAGAGAAAAUAUUACAAAGUCAAGACUUCAGCCUAGAUUCCAGUGCGGAAGAAGAAGGACUAAGGCUAUUUGUGGGUCCUGGGGGAAGUACAACCUUUGGCAGUCAUCAUCUUCCAAAUAGGGUGGGGUCUGGAGCUUAUGAACAAGUUGUGAUCAAACGCUAGAAGUCAAGUUGGUGAAAACAUUUCCUUGUGGAUUUAAGAUGUGAGUAGUUGAUGUAUCAAGGCAUUUUAUUCAGGCACUUAAUAGAAAAUGAACCUCAACUAUCAAGAGGAAAGCCAAUGCUGGUUUCUUCUCUGGAAGGACCCACCGCCAUCCUGUACCAGCCACCAAAGGGGAACAUCUGCAUGGCAGUCUCCAGGCACUGUGCCACUGUGUGCCUUGGAAGCACCUGGCUUCUGUGGUCACUGCACAUCAUAAUGAAAAGCCUGCUUUUUCUUUCAGAACACCCCAGUGGAGAAAACAGCAUUAUAUACAUCGGAGUAUCAUUUUAGGAUUCAAGUGUAAAAAUCUGUGAUCAAGAGGCUCAAUAGAUUUGAGCUCUAUGGUUUGGUUUUUUUAGUUUGAGAGACAGUACAUGAAUAUAACUUAAACCCUAUAGAUUUUGUCAAGAUAGUUAUAAUUCCUGUUCUGGAAAUCUUCCCUAUUACACUACCUACAGCAUUGUAUAAAGUGUGGGUGUUCAUGCUUUGGGAAAAUGUUAGACUACAAUUUAAACAUGUGAUGUGCUUAUUCAUAAUUCUCAGUGUAUCAGUCAUAAAUGAAAUAACAAGUGCAUUUAAGUCUGAGAUACGUGAAUGGAUGUAAUGCCGUUAUUAUGCAGUAUGUAUUGUUAAUUGUCAUUAAUAUUAGAUGAGCUGCAGAACCACCCCCAAGCACUACAUAAAAGACUCAAAAUAAGUUUAACACUUACUGUGUUGGGCACCCUAACAGAAGAGCUAUCUUAACUCAUUGAAUGUUAAGAUCUGCUGGUUUCAGGAGUCAAAAUGUAGAAAAAGAGGAGAAUUGUAAUAUGGUCAGAAACAGAGAAGCCUUUUCUAUGUAAAUUCAGACUUAUCUGAGGCUAACAGUUUUCCGAAGUGGUGGUGGGUAGCAGCAUGACAGCUGCUUGCCAUGACUGAUGCAGACUGGUAGGUUUCCAUUUUAGCUCUCUGUAGGUACUGUUUUCUUCCCCACUGUGUCGAAAGUGAUUUGUUUUGAGGCAAGAGUAGAAUAUAACAUAUAUCAAAUAUAGUUUUUAAAAUAAGAAUACCUGGUCUGGAUCCAGUUGAGCAGCACAGCAGAUAAACCUUAGAGUUUUUCUGUUCUUAAAUGACAGUUUCCAUGUGGAAAGAUCUAAACUUUCGUGGAAUCACUAUUAGUGAAGAAAAAUGUAGAAUCUGUAUAACAAGUAAUUCCCCAAUUCUUACUUUCAAAGUCAUAUCCAAGAAAGACAAUAUGUCAGAAUAGAAUGACUUUGGUCUAGGUGUUUUCACGUUGGCAAAAAUAAGGAGGAAAUUAUAUUAUUUUAAUAUCCAAAUUUAAAGGUUUGGAAAAUUUUGAAUAGUUAAUAUUAAGACUUUUGUUGCUGUUUUUUAUAUUUCAAGGAUUGAGUAUUCUGCAUUAAUCCAACAGUAUUCUAACAAAGAGAUUCUGGAAGUUUUUAAAAGAUGAUACCCUGUUUUAUAUUUUGAAUGUAGAGAGACUCUGAGAGAAUGUUCUGAGUUAUUAUACUUUUUAUUUUUUAAGAUUUAUUUUUAAGAAUAAAACAUUGACCUGAACAUUUUAGCCUAACCAAGGGACUUAAGUGGUAAAGGCUUGCAUUGUGUCUUCAUGUGAACUGAUCCGUUCAUUAUAUAUUAUGGGAAAAAUCAAAGAAAGUUUUUUAUAGAGAUAUGAAGAUAUUAUUUAGAGAGAUAUUUAUUGUGACAUUUUUUAAAACAUAUUUUUCUAUUUUCAAAAUAUUAUUUCUAGGCUAUAUUUUUAUUGGUGCUGUGCAAAUGAUUUUGCAGUUUUGAAAAUGAUAAAACUAGAUUGUAAGUGGGGUUCAGUGAGGACAUUCAUCAGACACGUAAGAGGUGCUGCAAUCAGGGUGAUGCCCAUCUUACUCAUCCUUGGGUGCCCUUGGUCCAACACCUCUCUAUACAAGACUGGUUCUCAGUAUUUUAAAUGGUACGGAAUUCUUUUUAAAAAGUAGAGAGAUUUUGAAAAGCAUAAAAAUCAUGCCUUUAUAAUCUUAGCAGCCAUCAGAUACACCUUGAUUUAUGUAGUAGUAAAUAUAACAAAUAUUUUAAUAAAUAGAAACACUGAUAAGGAAGAAAAAAGAACUAAUGUCUAUGUCUUCUGUAGUCAGCAAAAGUCUGGAUCCAUUUUGUUCUAUUUUGCGUUCCAUUGGCACACUUUGUGUUCAAAUUUCAGUGCAGUCCUUUCAAAAUACUCGCUAAGGGUUGCCUAAGUGUCUGCCUUACUUUCUGAUUUUCCUUUUCUGAGAGCAUGGUUAAGAACAUCUUAACCAUAUAGCUGUUGAAAAAAUCUGUUUAUUAAAUAGCAAGUUCACUUCUGUUUAUGUUUUGAGUUUAGAAAAUUUGACUUGAAAAUUUAGAUUAUUAAUGAAUUUAUUUUUAAAUAUUAAAGUCAAAUUUCAAAUCACCCAGUGUUGAAGAAUUUGCAGAUGUAUACAAUACUUUUUCUAAUUAUAUCUUUUCUAUCUCCAUGCCUGGCUUUUUCUAAUUAUAUCCUAGAGAAAAAGACUAAUGGUAUUUCAAAGCUGUAUAUUUGUGACGAGAUAAAGAAGAGUCUUAAAUAUCUUGUUUGGGAGAAUGCACAGGCCAGUCAGGAGACCCACCUCCUGUGCCCUGAGCUGCUGACUGAGACCCGACAGAUCAUGAAGUCUAGUAAAGGGCAGAGAAGGCCCUGAGCCAUCAGUUUACACUCGAAUGGUUGACUCCCCUUUGUGGUGUUUUUGAAGGCUGCUUAUAUCAACAGCUAAUGUGGAUUAGUGCAUAUGAUCUUGAAAAAGUCUUGACCAAGAAUCCUAAACUCCACCACUCCUCCCAUUCCAGCUUAACACUAUCAGAAUAAUAUCCAAAUUCCAGAUUCUUUUUUCCUUUUUUCUUUUUUUUCUUCCCUUUUUAAGAGAGACAGGGUCUUGCUCAGUCACCUAGGCUGGAGUGUAGUGGCGCAAUCGUUGCUCACUACAGCCUCCAACUCCCAGGCUCAAAUGAUCCUCCCACCUUGGCCUCCCAAAGUGCUAGGAGCACAGGCAUGAGCCACUGUGCCCAGCCUAGUUUCUUUUCUGUAUGCUUUUUUUACAAAACUGAGCCACAGAGGUUGACCACUUAGCCAAUUUGUUGCUAGAAGGGAGAAAAAAAUCUCCAACUAGCCUCCAGACAAAACAUACUCAAAUUCAAACAGCAGUUAGUUUUAAUUAACAUACCGAAGUAAUUUUAGACUUUCAGAUUUCUAUGCUGACUAGAACACUUUGCAGGCUGAAGCUGACAUUAUUACCAAAUACUUCAUUUAAGUAUUAAACGAAGUAUUAAAUGAAGUGUCAGGCUUCCAGUAUAUAUAGCAACGCUCUGAGAGACAAACUGGGCUCAUAUGACGGGGUUGCAUUUUAUUUUCUUAACAGGUCUUUUAAAUUGGGCAGUUCUGAAAUUCUGUUUGGUCAGUUCUAGAUGGUACGUCAUGUGAAUACAACCAAGCACUGUAGUUGAAAUUGUGUUAUGCCACUACUCAUAUGUUGUCUUAGGUACUAUGCAUAAUGUUAAUAGCUGAGAUGUUAAAGAAUUUGAAGUCUAAAAUAUAAAAGAUGAAUAUACCCAUAUUAAUCCUAUGUUAAGAUGCUCUGGAAAUAAAGGCCUUAUUCCCUUACAUAUGCGAUUUUUGUAAGAUAAUAUAUACACAGUAUAUUUUAAAUGUUUGUGUGGGUGGUCUAUGUAGUUACUCCCCAUACAACAAAGCUGACAAAAUUUUUAAUUUACACAAUGUAUUCUGCAUUUUCAAAUGUUUAUCUUGUGUAUAUAGCAAAGAAAUUAUCUUACUGAUAUGCGUUGACCAAAUCCCAUGGAGAAAAGACAUUUAGAUACAUCUCAUUUGAGGCUCCCCUUCCUUUCAUGUGUUUGAUUUUUUGGAAGGUGAUACAGUGUGUGGGUAACCAUGCAAAUGUUUAUGAAUAACUUUACUGAAGUGAUUCCAUCAGUAUUCUGUUCUAAUACUUGGAGAAUGACCUUCAUAUUUAUAUAUUUUAUUUCUUUGUUUCAACUAUACAGUGAUAAUUCAGGAAAUGUUUCUUUUUUUUUUUUUACAAAAACCAAUUUUUUAUUUGUAAAAUGUUUGUAAUAAUGUAAAGGUGAACAUGUUCAAUAAAAAUCAUAUAUUAAAA